UGGUUUUUUUGUUCAGUAUUUAUACUAUCAAAGUGCUUGCUCAUUUGAGGUUGCACGUUUAUAUAAUUGUGUAAUGGUAUGUUUGUCAAACAACUGAACUGUUUGAAUUGUUAUGCUCAUCUUGCAAUGAUUCUUUAUGGGGAUAAGGUCUCUGAUUCAAUAAAGUGAGAGUAGAAUUCAGAAUUGAUUGGUUUGUGGGAGCAAAGAUCAACAAUCUGACUAUCAAUUGGAACCAUUACAUCUUGGAAGGGAAGGCAAUGGUGUUAUUGAUAUUACUACUAAAUGGGGAAAAGCGUGAGUAUAAUAUUAACCAACUCAAAGUUAUUUCACAGGAAUUCAGAUAUCAAAUGUUAGUUGGAUGAGCAUUAGAGAGCUUAGAAUUAUUGGGGAGAUGUGGAGGGAGUGCUACCAGUCUUGAUGACCAAGUUUAGCAUCAGUAGUGGUAGGUUCAUGCAACAAUCAUGCAUGGUGGAGCUUACAGAUAUCUCCUUUAUUUAAAGUCCGUGAAAAGUGUGGCUAGCCAUGAAGACCAUGGACAGUCAAGGAGGAGCCAAUUUCUUUAACAUAGAUUCAUGAUGCUUUAUUAGUUUGGACUAAAUGAGCAUCAUUUCAGAGUUUAAUUGUGCUUGCUAAGAGAUAACAGCACCAUAAUCCAUUAGGAUCCGUUUGUUAGAUGGUGGACACCAGAGCAAGUGUAUUAUUUU
RNAcentral lists this long non-coding RNA (704 nucleotides) under Elaeis guineensis (African oil palm). RNAcentral's name for it is "long non-coding RNA (EGUI_LNC006403)". Lineage: Eukaryota; Viridiplantae; Streptophyta; Magnoliopsida; Arecales; Arecaceae. The record is from RNAcentral.